CAGCCGCCGCGGGAAUACGGAGGGGGCUAGCGUUGUUCGGAAUUACUGGGCGUAAAGCGCACGUAGGCGGCUUGGUAAGUUAGAGGUGAAAGCCUGGAGCUCAACUCCAGAAUUGCCUUUGAGACUGCCGAGCUAGCAGGUGAGAGAGGUAAGUGGAAUUCCGAGUGUAGAGGUGAAAUUCGUAGAUAUUCGGAAGAACACCAGUGGCGAAGGCGGCUUACUGGCUCAUACUGGACGCUGAGGUGCGAAAGCGUGGGGAGCAAACAGGAUUAGAUACCCCAGUAGUCCCUGUCUCUUAUAU
RNAcentral lists this ribosomal RNA (301 nucleotides) under uncultured bacterium. Its description in RNAcentral is "partial 16S ribosomal RNA". It matches the Rfam family "Bacterial small subunit ribosomal RNA", at positions 509 to 809 of the family's 1533-position model. The record is from RNAcentral.